GACGAACGCUGGCGGCAUGCCUAAUACAUGCAAGUCGAGCGAACAGAUGAAGUGCUUGCACUUCUGACGUUAGCAGCGAACGGGAGAGUAACACGUAAGGAGUCUACCUAUAAGCGGGGGAUAACAUUCGGAAAUGGGUGCUAAUACCGCAUAAUAUCUUCUUCCGCAUGGAAGAAGAUUGAAAGACGGCUCUGCUGUCACUAAUAGAUGACCUUGCGGUGCAUUAGUUCGUUGGUGGGGUAAUAGCCUACCAAGGCGAUGAUGGAUAGGCGACCUGAGAGGGUGAGCGGCCAGAUUGGGACUGAGACACGGCCCAAACACCUACGGGAGGCAGCAGUAGGGAAUCUUCCGCAAUGGGCGAAAGCCUGACGGAGCAAUGCCGCGUGAGUGAAGAAGGCCUUCGGGUCGUAAAACUCUGUUAUAAGAGAAGAACAAAUUGUAGAUUAUCUGCUACAGUCUUGACGGUAUCUUAUCAGAAAGCCACGGCUAACUACGUGCCAGCAGCCGCCGUAA
This 513-nucleotide ribosomal RNA is filed under the name uncultured bacterium. RNAcentral's name for it is "partial 16S ribosomal RNA". It matches the Rfam family "Bacterial small subunit ribosomal RNA", at positions 28 to 523 of the family's 1533-position model. The record is from RNAcentral.